This is an RNA transcript of Brachypodium distachyon (stiff brome), 3245 nucleotides long. It is a transcript of the gene named protein RIK, with no coding region annotated. The transcript has 12 exons. NCBI's taxonomy places the organism in Eukaryota, Viridiplantae, Streptophyta, Magnoliopsida, Poales, Poaceae. The record is from RefSeq and is a predicted model, not a curated record.
AACCCAAUCUCAAAAGUCCAAACAAAGCAUCAACUGCGCCCUUACGGCCCUACCCAGCCCAGGUCGGGUUUCCCAAUCCAGCCAUCUCGUCGGCCGCAUCCAGCCCCCGCCGUCGCCGGCCCCGCGCCCUUCUCCUCCGGUUCAUCCCAACUCCGAGGCCACCCCCGACGAGCGAACGCCCAUGACGGAGGAAGGCACUCCCAGGGCCUCCGGCGAGCCCACCGCCGCGACCAAGCAGAGGAAAAAGAGGAAGUGGGAUCAGCCCGCAGAGGACAUUGUCUCCGCGGCGGCCGAAGCCGCUGCGGUGGCGGGACUGCCGGUGUUGAACUUUGGGGCUCUGUCCGGCGUUCAAUUUCCUGGCAUUACCACGUAUCCCGCCGCCCCGUUGCCAAAUGCAAUCCCUGCUCCCUAUGCUUUGCCGCCUCAGCUCACGCCUUCGGUGCUUCAGAGUGCUGCUGCUGCGGUUCAGAAACUAAGUCAGGCAAAAAUACCAGAUGAGCUCAUAGCACGAGAAAUAGUUAUAAAUGACGCUGAUCCAUCUGUGCGGUAUAAGCUCACAAAACGGCAAACACAGGACGAGAUUCAGCGAUGCACUUGCACUGUCAUCAUUACCAGGGGAAAAUACCAUCCUCCAAACGGACAGCCUGAUGGUGAGAAGCCACUCUAUCUACAUAUCUCUGCAGGAUCUCAGCUGAAAGAUACUGCAGAGCGCAUUAAAGCAGUUGAUCGUGCAGCGUCAAUGAUUGAGGAAAUCUUGAAACAAGGCCAAAUGCCAGAAACAACAUCAACCCAUUUCCCUUCAAUCCAGAGCAACAAACAGGCUGUUCAUCCUUUUAGUGCCUCGAUUUUUUUGGGUUUUGAUGCAGAUCCAUCAUUAAAUGUUGCUGCUCGCAUCCGUGGUCCAAAUGAUCAGUAUAUAAAUCACAUCAUGAAUGAAACAGGGGUAACUGUUUCACUGAGAGGAAAAGGUUCAGGGAAUAUGGGCGGUUGUCAUGCUGAAGCAUCACAACAACCUCUGCACAUGUACCUAUCAAGUGUGCAUUUGAAGAGCCUAGAAGCUGCAAAGGUUUUAGCAGAAAACCUUCUAGAUACAAUAGCAGCCGAAUUUGGUGCUUCCAGAAUUUCUUCUUCAAAAGUAUAUGGUGCUGUUCCACCGCCACAGCAGUUGUUGACUGGUGUGCACACCUCUGUAACAACACCAGAUGUACACUCUACUUUAGGGCCUUAUGGGUCAACAGGAGCAGCACAUUCUUAUGCACCUACUGGAGUUACUUCUCCCAUGGCGGUUCCUUCAACGACACUUCAAUCUGGCUUUCCAACUUAUUCUGGGAUUCCACCACCUAGUAACCUGGUCUAUCCUAGUCAAGCAGCAAACGGUGGGACAUUGUACAAUGGCUAUGGAGGCAUUUAUCCUCAAGCAACUCCACUGCAGCAGGUGUCAUUAACACUCAAGCAUGCUUCAUCGUCGACAACUCAGGUUGUUCCAGUGGUAUCUACAUCAACAAGCAUGGCGACAGAGGUAAACUCAAGUGCAAAGUUGGAGUCAGAUAAACGCUUUCAAAGGAGGAAAUUCCAGGAGCUGCCAAUACCGGACCUUCAGGUAUUUUCUCUGACCAUGUCUGAAGCUCACAGGGUGGUAACAGUGGUUUCAUUUUUUUCACAGGGUUUAUUGCAAGUUGGAGUUUGCAGUUGCAAUGGGGGUUUAGCUGAUAAGAUGCAGUGUUAUUCUUCUUGUGAAUUGGAUGAUUGCUUUUAUUGUCUUGUUGUUAGUGCAAAGUGCUCCCUCCGAUCCUAAAUUCUUGAACUAAAACAACGACAACGACAAUUUUAACUAAAACAACGACAAGAAUUUAGGAUCAGAAGGAGUAUUGUUUUAGUCCUCGCAAUGAAUGUGUUGCUGGCUGCAUGCAGAUUUAAUUAAUAGCAAUUAGCAUUGCUACCAUACCUUUGAAUUGUUGGCUGAUUUAGUUUUCUAAUACUUAAUAGGUUUUGGUAUAAUCUAGUUAGGCAUCACUAUCUUCCUCUGAAAAAUGGGCUCUUUCUACAUUUUGAAAAUUUCUUCUUUUAGUCACAACUACAAGUGGUACUACUAGAGUACUAAUGUGCAAAAUAGGAUUAAUAUUUUUUAUACAGAACCUCUUAGCUCAAUGAACCAGAGUUUAGUUGUAUUUUAGUUGUAUUUUUUGGGGGGCUUUAUAGACACUUGCUGAUGCUUUCUUUAUUUUCUUAAUGGUACAAAUUUUGCAAAUAUGAAAGCCAUACCUAUUAAUUAGGAGGUUGCCCUGUUCGAACUUGCUUUAUCGGCAUCCUUACUAGUAUUGUGCUUCCAUACAAUACAUGGAUUCAUGCAUUUGUGCUGUUUAUGCAGGGUGUUCAUUUCAUCCUUCUUUUGCAUUUUAUUAUCAUGAUAUAAAUUUGAUGGGGAAGUGUUCUUUUGUUUCAUCUUUCCAGAACUCACAACAGGGGUCCAAAUUUGUUAAGACAGGUUUAGAUGAUUUAGGUAAAAUGAGCAGUCCAUCAGCCACACCUAAAACAAAAGUUCAGCCUGGAUCGAAUGUGAUGUUUCCACAUGAUCUACAGCAUAUGCCAUCACAUCUGUCUGUAUCUACUGGCAUGUCACCGCCACCUCCACCACCGAAGAACAUGUCACCACCAUCUUCCAAGAACAUGCCGCCUCCACCACCCAAGAGCAUGCCUCCGCCCCCACCAAAGUUCCCUUCAAAUGAAGUGUUAAGAAAUGAGAGUAGGCAUUCAGCUGUGAAGGAGCCGAUGGCACCUCCAAGAUCCUUGGACGUGAGUUCAGUCUCACCACCAAAGUCUUGGUCAGCUCAAUUACCUUCAAAGGACCCUAGAGAGGAAAAGCCAAGCAGUGCAUCUGUUUCUGAAACUCUGCUGAAGCUUAUGGAUUAUGGCGAUGAUGACGACGACGACGACGAUGAUGACAUUGAUGAGACGGAUAGUGUGCCUGGAGGGAAUACAACUCCCAGUCCAGGGCAGAAACCAUUUUGGUCUGUGUGAAAAUGAGUGUUUUGUACUGUAGUCUGUAGUGUGAAUUGGAAUGCAGGUAGAUAAUCUUACCUGUCCUGACACAUCUUCUCAAUGCAUCAUCUAGUCAUUGAGGUUGUUGUUUUGUACCAGUGUCUACAGGUCAACAGAUAUCCCUGAUCCAGAUAUAUGCCACCUUCCUAUCUGAAGACAUUUGAGCUCUUGAUCAUCAUUCCUUCAAAGUGAUUACUUGUGUUUAA